AGAAUGUUUGGACAGGGCCCUUUUGUAUAGGAUUGCCAAAGCUGUUUGUCAGUGUGGUGUUUGUUGCUCAUGUGGGAUGGGAGAGUGUCCUGACAAGGCUCCGUUUAGCCUCACUGGAAUGAUCUUUGAAGCUGUAAAGAAAAAUGGGUGUUUUUGUGUUUUUUAGAGUUGAUUUUUUCCUGAAGAAUGAUCCAUUUAAAUGCAUCACUGAUACAUGAUACAAUUUUUAGCAGUAGGUGCAAUUGGGGAAAAUCAGCUUUAGUGUGGAGAGUGAGCCCAAGUGCAUAUUUAUAAAGUAUUUCUGAACACAAGUGGUGUUCAUGUGCUGUGGUUCCUCACAGUUUCAUAGGACAUCUUUGACCAUUUGUGCUUCUGUAAUUGUAAGUCAGCUUCUAUUUUUCAAUUGGAAAUUCACCUUUUAAUAUUUACAUAAUGGCCAAAGGGUUUACCAGUCUGUAUUUAAUUAUAAUUGCCAAUUUUUACAUAUGGCAGUUAAAUUGUACCCCCCAAAAUGCACUUAAACCUGAACUGUGUAGUUCAGUUACCUCUUAUUUGACUUUAGAUGGAUUUAAUACAUUUGGUAGGGGCUGGGGGGUUUGUUUUGUUUUUGUUUUAUCCCUUAGCCUCGUGUGUAUAAACUCUCAUUUCCAACAGUUCUGAACACAUUUAUACAGUGGUCCAGGAAAGAUGCUGUUUUUCAGAAGUUUUUAAAUUUGAUACAUUUCCUCUUUUUACUACCUGGGUUUGUUUAAACUGUUCUUUUAUAAGAAAUGUUUUGACUUACAGAUCAUUUUAUAUUCUUUUUCUACCUGACUUUCAACCAUUGAAAAUGUGUAGUUCUUUCAAAUGGAGUGAAGAUUUAUUUAAGUUAAUCCUAAGGGUACACGUCGUGUUUAGAAAUGUGAGAAGGCGUAGAUGAGCAGAUCAGUUUUGUUUAAAGAGCAAACUAACAACCUAGUUUUCAGAACUUGUGCACUCCUGUUCCUCUCUGCAUCAUUGUUUGUCUGAAUGGGAUGUAAAAGGGACAGCACACACAGUAGCCUUCCGUACGUGUGAAUUAUGUUAUGCUUUUGUAUGACCUUGUUAUAUUUGAUAAAUAUAUGUAUAUAUCCACUUCUUAAAUUAUUUCAGGUUCUUAUGGCUUAUCUGACAAUAUUGCCUCUUAAGAUGUGAUCUCCAGUGUAAUUAACCAUUAACGUAGGGGUCAGCUCUUAGGGUCAUGCAUCCCUUAACUAUUGCAUGGAGUGUUUUAUGACAAGUUGUGUCGGAGUCUCUGUGCCAUAAGAACUAGGAAGAGAUUACUCAGCCUUUUCAUAAUGAAGCUUAUAAGCACUCUAUUGCUGUGAGAACCUAAAAUGAAAUCAGCCAAUAUUUAUUGAGCCCCUUCUGUAUGAUACAAACUUAACAAAGUUUCUACCUAUACUUUCAUAGCAACCUGUAGUGGGCUAGUGGGCUACUGUUAUUCCCCUGCUAUUGACAGAGGAGAGACUUCUGUUACAUACUUCCAAGUUCCACAGAAUUAAUAUAAAAUGCAGGGCUCUCUGAUUUUGAUGGUUGGUGUUUGUAGUGACUCUGUGAUAGUACUAAGUAUCAUCAAAGAGUACUUAGUAACCAGUGCCCUCUAAAGAUUCUUUCUGUGAAGUAAGUUCCCUGUGUAAAUUAUUUCUGCAUGUGUGGUUCGGGAACAGUAAGUAUAUUCGCAUUGUUAUCCGGGUGUGCAU
RNAcentral lists this long non-coding RNA (1721 nucleotides) under Mus musculus (house mouse). RNAcentral's name for it is "long non-coding RNA chr3:122015032-122016753". The record is from RNAcentral. Lineage: Eukaryota; Metazoa; Chordata; Mammalia; Rodentia; Muridae.